This 260-nucleotide unclassified non-coding RNA is filed under the name Rhizophagus sp. (in: glomeromycetes). RNAcentral's name for it is "partial contains 5.8S ribosomal RNA and internal transcribed spacer 2". The stretch from base 1 to 65 matches the Rfam family "5.8S ribosomal RNA", at positions 84 to 154 of the family's 154-position model. Lineage: Eukaryota; Fungi; Glomeromycota; Glomeromycetes; Glomerales; Glomeraceae. The record is from RNAcentral.
GUGAAUCAUCAAAUUUUUGAACGCAAAUUGCACUCUCUUCGGAGAGUAUGCCUGUUUGAGGGUCAGUAUUAAUAAAAAUCUGUGUGUUGCUUCUUUGUGCCGCUCCGGGGUUUGGGUCAUCUUAAUAUCCUUUAGGUUUUAAGAGGCUUAAAAUUGACUUUUUUUGCGCACUUUAGAUGUACAUAAAUUUUUUUUUUAUUCGUCUAUCCUUAAUGCCAAAAUCUUAUUAGAUCCUACCAUAUGGUGUGGUUUCGGUGCUA